RNAcentral lists this ribosomal RNA (253 nucleotides) under uncultured bacterium. RNAcentral describes it as "partial 16S ribosomal RNA". It matches the Rfam family "Bacterial small subunit ribosomal RNA", at positions 524 to 776 of the family's 1533-position model. The record is from RNAcentral.
UACGGGGGGGGCAAGCGUUGUUCGGAAUUACUGGGCGUAAAGGGCUCGUAGGCGGCCAACUAAGUCAUACGUGAAAUCCCUCGGCUUAACCGGGGAACUGCGUCUGAUACUGGAUGGCUUGAGUUCGGGAGAGGGAUGCGGAAUUCUAGGUGUAGCGGUGAAAUUCGUAGAUAUUCGGAAGAACACCAGUGGCGAAGGCGACUUACUGGACACAUACUGACGCUGAGGUGCGAAAGCGUGGGGAGCAAACAGG